RNAcentral lists this small nuclear RNA (35 nucleotides) under Cervus elaphus hippelaphus. The record is from RNAcentral. Lineage: Eukaryota; Metazoa; Chordata; Mammalia; Artiodactyla; Cervidae.
AUCGCUUCUUGACCUUUUGGCUAAGAUCAAGUGUA